AUAACCAUUUUCGGCGGUACAUAUACUAAAAUUGGAACGAUACAGAGAAGAUUAGCAUGGCCCCUGCGCAAGGAUGACACGCAAAAUCGUUAGUUUU
Molecule: small nuclear RNA, 97 nt
Filed under: Rhodnius prolixus
Lineage: Eukaryota; Metazoa; Arthropoda; Insecta; Hemiptera; Reduviidae
Source: RNAcentral